RNAcentral lists this signal recognition particle RNA (307 nucleotides) under Cebus imitator (Panamanian white-faced capuchin). Its description in RNAcentral is "Metazoan signal recognition particle RNA (ENSCCAG00000000848.1)". It matches the Rfam family "Metazoan signal recognition particle RNA". From Rfam's summary of the family: The signal recognition particle (SRP) is a universally conserved ribonucleoprotein. It is involved in the co-translational targeting of proteins to membranes. Lineage: Eukaryota; Metazoa; Chordata; Mammalia; Primates; Cebidae. The record is from RNAcentral.
GCCGGGCGCGGUGGCACUUGCCUAUAGUCCCGAGUCCUAUAGCUACUUGGGUGGCUGAGGUGGGAGGAUUGCUUGAGCCCAGGAGUUCUGGGCUGUAGCGUGCUAUGCUGAUCAGGUGUUCUCACUAAGUUCGGCAUCAAUAUGGUGACCUCCCGGGAGCGGGGGACUACCAGGUUGCCUAAGGAGGGGUGAACUGGCCCAGGUUGGAAACGAGCAGGUCAAAACUCCCGUGCUGAUCAGUAGUGGGAUCUUGCCUGUGCAUAGCCACUGCACUCCAGCCUGGGCAACAUAGUGAGACCCUGUCUCU